RNAcentral lists this ribosomal RNA (410 nucleotides) under uncultured bacterium. RNAcentral describes it as "bacterial SSU rRNA". It matches the Rfam family "Bacterial small subunit ribosomal RNA", at positions 355 to 775 of the family's 1533-position model. The record is from RNAcentral.
UCGAGGAUCUUCGGCAAUGCGCGCAAGCGCGACCGAGCGACGCCGCGUGGGCGACGAAGGCCUUCGGGUUGUAAAGCCCUGUCGAGGGGGAGGAAGGGGCAACCUUGACCUAUCCCUGGAGGAAGCUCGGGCUAAGUUCGUGCCAGCAGCCGCGGUAAGACGAACCGAGCGAACGUUGUUCGGAAUCACUGGGCUUAAAGGGCGCGUAGGCGGGCUGCCGAGUCCGGGGUGAAAGCCCCCCGCUCAACGGGGGAACGGCCUCGGAUACUGGCGGUCUGGAGGCGGGUAGGGGCAAGCGGAACUGUGGGUGGAGCGGUGAAAUGCGUUGAGAUCCACAGGAACUCCGGUGGCGAAGGCGGCUUGCUGGACCCGAACUGACGCUGAGGCGCGAAAGCCAGGGGAGCGAACGG